Molecule: transfer RNA, 73 nt
Filed under: Angiostrongylus costaricensis
Lineage: Eukaryota; Metazoa; Nematoda; Chromadorea; Rhabditida; Metastrongylidae
Rfam family: tRNA
About the family: Transfer RNA (tRNA) molecules are approximately 80 nucleotides in length.
Source: Rfam by way of RNAcentral
GGCCUUGUGGCCUAAUGGAUAAGGCGUCGGACUUCGGAUCCGAAGAUUGCAGGUUCGAGUCCUGCAUGGGUCG